This 393-nucleotide ribosomal RNA is filed under the name uncultured organism. RNAcentral describes it as "bacterial SSU rRNA". It matches the Rfam family "Bacterial small subunit ribosomal RNA", at positions 45 to 433 of the family's 1533-position model. The record is from RNAcentral.
UGCUUAACACAUGCAAGUCGAACGGCAGCACGGUGCGUAGCAAUACGUAUGGGUGGCGAGUGGCGGACGGGUGAGUAAUACGUAGGGAUCUGCCUUGAAGAGUGGGACAACCCGAGGAAACUCGGGCUAAUACCGCAUGAGCUCUGAGGAGGAAAGGCUGGGUUGAAAGACCUGGUGCUUUGAGAGGAACCUACGUCCGAUUAGCUAGUUGGUAAGGUAAAGGCUUACCAAGGCGAUGAUCGGUAGCUGUUCUGAGAGGAAGAGCAGCCACACUGGGACUGAGACACGGCCCAGACUCCUACGGGAGGCAGCAGUGGGGAAUAUUGGACAAUGGGGGCAACCCUGAUCCAGCGAUGCCGCGUGUGUGAAGAAGGCCUUCGGGUUGUAAAGCAC